UGAACACCGUGCCCAAGCAGUGGGACAGAACCAAGGUUUGUGUGCCAGGAAGGUCUGAACACCCUGUCCCGAGUGUGAAAAGCCUCACACAGCCUGCCCUGCCUUGCCAGAGAUCCCCUUUCCUUCCUUUUCACUCCCACAAUUGGGUGGGUUAAUCUGACACCGUACCUUAGAGCCACGAUAAAAAAAAAAAAAUACUCUUAAGCUUGUUGUUGUUUGGCUCUAAAUCCCAAGCUGAGGUUAUGAGUGCUUCUCCUUGAUGUGUGUGGGUUAAAAAUCAGAUGCUGAAACGUGAAUCUCUUGAAAAAGUUCACUUGGCAGAGGGGACAUGAAGGUGAUGGAGUUUCUUGCUGAUUUGGGAAUGAGUGGUGUGAAGUGCUUUGUUCUGCUUCCUGGUCCCUGUGAGAGCCUGUGUGAUGGC
Non-coding RNA from Sturnus vulgaris (Common starling), 421 nucleotides. NCBI's taxonomy places the organism in Eukaryota, Metazoa, Chordata, Aves, Passeriformes, Sturnidae. The record is from RefSeq and is a predicted model, not a curated record.